This 595-nucleotide long non-coding RNA is filed under the name Setaria viridis. RNAcentral describes it as "long non-coding RNA (SVIR_LNC001213)". The record is from RNAcentral. Lineage: Eukaryota; Viridiplantae; Streptophyta; Magnoliopsida; Poales; Poaceae.
UCGACAUUCUUCUUCUCACUAGGAAUAACCAUGAGAUGGAGGAAAAGGGGUGCUGGUCAUGGAGAGUUAGCUAGUCUGUAACCUUUGUUGUGUGUGUAUAUAUAUAUAAUGACAAAUUUGUCAUUUAAAAUAGGAGCUGGAGGAACCAGUAGCCUUUGUUGUGUGUGUAUAUAUAUGUAUUGACAAAUUUGUCAUUUAAAAUAGGAGCUGGAGGAACCAGGAACAACAACGAUACGAUGCUUUUAGCAGACAACUCCCAAAGUACCUACCAUAGAUGCAUCGGUUAUGGACAUGUUCAAGACAUGCUCAUAACUCGUGAGAGCAACUUUACCAGGGAACAGUGUUGGAGCCACAGGCCCACAAGGCUGAUGCAAGGCAGGAGCUAGCGGGUACACAAACGGACUAGCAAUAUUUUUGUGAUGACUAAUCAGCAGAGGAAAACAAGGGGCUUAGGACAUUAAACCUACUGAAAUUGCCUCAUCAAGGCCUCAAGGGCCUCCUACCAUGUCUGUAAUUAAUAUUGCCAUAGUGGUGUUAACCAUGAUGCUAGCAUGGCAAAAAAAAGUUCCCAUGAUUUUAGAUGUAUAUUUCGUGU